This 73-nucleotide transfer RNA is filed under the name Zootermopsis nevadensis. RNAcentral describes it as "tRNA-Thr for anticodon UGU". It matches the Rfam family "tRNA". From Rfam's summary of the family: Transfer RNA (tRNA) molecules are approximately 80 nucleotides in length. Their secondary structure includes four short double-helical elements and three loops (D, anti-codon, and T loops). The record is from Rfam by way of RNAcentral. Lineage: Eukaryota; Metazoa; Arthropoda; Insecta; Blattodea; Termopsidae.
GGCACGGUGGUCUAGCGGUUAGAACGCAGGCCUUGUAAUCCUGGGGUCUCGGGUUCGAUUCCCGGCGGUGCCC